UUGAAACACAUGUUCCCGUACGAUCACCGAAUUUAAGCAACGUGGAACCUGGUCAAUACCUAUAUGGGUGACCGCUUGGGAAUACCAGAUGUUGUAAGC
Molecule: non-coding RNA, 99 nt
Organism: Acanthosepion pharaonis
Lineage: Eukaryota; Metazoa; Mollusca; Cephalopoda; Sepiida; Sepiidae
Source: the annotation of a GenBank genome assembly